Molecule: ribosomal RNA, 440 nt
Filed under: uncultured bacterium
Lineage: Bacteria
Description: partial 16S ribosomal RNA
Rfam family: Bacterial small subunit ribosomal RNA
Source: RNAcentral
CCUACGGGAGGCAGCAGUGGGGAAUCUUUCACAAUGGGGGAAACCCUGAUGCAGCGAUGCCGCGUGAGGGAAGAAGGUUUUCGGCUUGUACACUCCUUUUAUCAGUGACGAUAAUGACGGUACCUGAAUAAAAAUCUCCUGCUAACUACGUGCCAGCAGCCGCGGUAAUACGUAGGGAGCGAGCGUUGUCCGGAAUUACUGGGUGUAACGUGAGCGUAGGCGGGACGGCAAGUCAGAUGUGAAAACUGAGGGCUCAACUUUCAGACUGCAUUUGAAACUGAUGUUCUUGAGUGAAUUAGAGGUAAGCGGAAUUCCUAGUGUAGCGGUGAAAUGCGUAGAUAUAAGGAGGAACAUCGGUGGCGAAGGCGGCUUACUGGGCUUUUACUGACGCUGAGGCUCGAAAGCGUGGGGAGCAAACAGGAUUAGAUACCCCAGUAGUC